UACCCGAGACUCCAUCUGGUCCAUCAGCAC
RNAcentral lists this small RNA (30 nucleotides) under Bombyx mori (domestic silkworm). RNAcentral's name for it is "ovarian small RNA-20664". Lineage: Eukaryota; Metazoa; Arthropoda; Insecta; Lepidoptera; Bombycidae. The record is from RNAcentral.